CAGUCGCCACGGUAAUACGGAGGGAGCUAGCGUUGUUCGGAAUUACUGGGCGUAAAGCGCGCGUAGGCGGUUACUCAAGUCAGAGGUGAAAGCCCGGGGCUCAACCCCGGAACUGCCUUUGAAACUAGGUGACUAGAAUCUUGGAGAGGUCAGUGGAAUUCCGAGUGUAGAGGUGAAAUUCGUAGAUAUUCGGAAGAACACCAGUGGCGAAGGCGACUGACUGGACAAGUAUUGACGCUGAGGUGCGAAAGCGUGGGGAGCAAACAGGAUUAGAUACCCCGGUAGUCCCUGUCUCUUAUAC
This 301-nucleotide ribosomal RNA is filed under the name uncultured bacterium. Its description in RNAcentral is "partial 16S ribosomal RNA". It matches the Rfam family "Bacterial small subunit ribosomal RNA", at positions 509 to 807 of the family's 1533-position model. The record is from RNAcentral.